Molecule: transfer RNA, 77 nt
Filed under: Thermoproteota archaeon
Lineage: Archaea; Thermoproteati; Thermoproteota
Also listed under: 3 other names
Description: tRNA-Thr
Rfam family: tRNA
About the family: Transfer RNA (tRNA) molecules are approximately 80 nucleotides in length. Their secondary structure includes four short double-helical elements and three loops (D, anti-codon, and T loops).
Source: RNAcentral
GCCCCAGUAGCUCAGCCCGGUAGAGCGACGGUUUCGUAAACCGCUGGUCAGGGGUUCAAACCCCCUCUGGGGCUCCA